AACGAACGCUGGCGGCAUGCCUAACACAUGCAAGUCGAACGAGACCUUCGGGUCUAGUGGCGCACGGGUGCGUAACGCGUGGGAACCUGCCCUAGGUUCGGAAUAACCCCCCGGAAGGGGUGCUAAUACCGGAUAAUGUCUUCGGACCAAAGAUUUAUCGCCUUUGGAUGGGCCCGCGUUGGAUUAGCUAGUUGGUAGGGUAAAAGCCUACCAAGGCGACGAUCCAUAGCUGGUCUGAGAGGAUGAUCAGCCACACUGGGACUGAGACACGGCCCAGACUCCUACGGGAGGCAGCAGUGGGGAAUAUUGGACAAUGGGCGAAAGCCUGAUCCAGCAAUGCCGCGUGAGUGAUGAAGGCCUUAGGGUUCUAAAGCUCUUUUACCCGGGAUGAUAAUGACAGUACCGGGAGAAUAAGCUCCGGCUAACUCCGUG
This 432-nucleotide ribosomal RNA is filed under the name uncultured bacterium. RNAcentral describes it as "partial 16S ribosomal RNA". It matches the Rfam family "Bacterial small subunit ribosomal RNA", at positions 29 to 507 of the family's 1533-position model. The record is from RNAcentral.